CAUAAGCAGACACAUCUGGAGACUGUCACAAUAUUUUAACACGUUACCAGAAGUUCCAAAGAGUGAGUAUUUACUAACAACUAACCAUAAGUUUUAAACAGAAAAAGAGGGAGAAAAAAACUUAAGGAUGUGUGCAGUAACAAAAAAUUCAAGAAAGUACAAUUCCAGAGAAUCUUUUCACAAGCAACAAUGUUAGAAAUUAAUAAAGGCAAUAAAACAAGACAUGCAACAUUCAAUGCUUUGACUAAGGCCAUGUAAAUGCUAUGGAACAG
This 272-nucleotide unclassified non-coding RNA is filed under the name Hevea brasiliensis (rubber tree). The record is from RNAcentral. Lineage: Eukaryota; Viridiplantae; Streptophyta; Magnoliopsida; Malpighiales; Euphorbiaceae.